This 67-nucleotide transfer RNA is filed under the name uncultured Yaniella sp. It matches the Rfam family "tRNA". Rfam says of the family: Transfer RNA (tRNA) molecules are approximately 80 nucleotides in length. Their secondary structure includes four short double-helical elements and three loops (D, anti-codon, and T loops). Lineage: Bacteria; Bacillati; Actinomycetota; Actinomycetes; Micrococcales; Micrococcaceae. The record is from RNAcentral. RNAcentral also lists the same sequence under 1 other name.
CGGGUGUAGCUCAAUGGUAGAGCGCUUGCUUCCCAAGCAAGAUACGCGGGUUCGAUUCCCGUCACCC